This 915-nucleotide ribosomal RNA is filed under the name uncultured bacterium. RNAcentral describes it as "bacterial SSU rRNA". It matches the Rfam family "Bacterial small subunit ribosomal RNA", at positions 531 to 1443 of the family's 1533-position model. The record is from RNAcentral.
GGCGCGAGCGUUNUCCGGAAUUAUUGGGCGUAAAGAGCUUGUAGGCGGUUGGUCGCNUCUGCUGUGAAAGGCUGGGGCUUAACCCUGGUUUUGCAGUGGGUACGGGCUAACUAGAGUGCAGUAGGGGAGACUGGAAUUCCUGGUGUAGCGGCGGAAUGCGCAGAUAUCAGGAGGAACACCGAUGGCGAAGGCAGGUCUCUGGGCUGUAACUGACGCUGAGAAGCGAAAGCAUGGGGAGCGAACAGGAUUAGAUACCCUGGUAGUCCAUGCCGUAAACGUUGGGCACUAGGUGUGGGGGACAUUCCACGUUUUCCGCGCCGUAGCUAACGCAUUAAGUGCCCCGCCUGGGGAGUACGGCCGCAAGGCUAAAACUCAAAGAAAUUGACGGGGGCCCGCACAGGCGGCGGAGCAUGCGGAUUAAUUCGAUGCAACGCGAAGAACCUUACCAAGGCUUGACAUAUACUGGACUGCGUCAGAGAUGGCGUUUCCCUUCGGGGCUGGUAUACAGGUGGUGCAUGGUUGUCGUCAGCUCGUGUCGUGAGAUGUUGGGUUAAGUCCCGCAACGAGCGCAACCCUCGUUCUAUGUUGCCAGCACGUGAUGGUGGGGACUCAUAGGAGACUGCCGGGGUUAACUCGGAGGAAGGUGGGGAUGACGUCAAAUCAUCAUGCCCCUUAUGUCUUGGGCUUCACGCAUGCUACAAUGGCCGGUACAGAGGGUUGCGAUACUGUGAGGUGGAGCUAAUCCCUAAAAGCCGGUCUCAGUUCGGAUUGGGGUCUGCAACUCGACCCCAUGAAGUCGGAGUCGCUAGUAAUCGCAGAUCAGCAACGCUGCGGUGAAUACGUUCCCGGGCCUUGUACACACCGCCCGUCAAGUCACGAAAGUUGGUAACACCCGAAGCCGGUGGCCUAACCCUG